AAAUUGAAGAGUUUGAUCAUGGCUCAGAUUGAACGCUGGCGGCAGGCCUAACACAUGCAAGUCGAACGGUAACAGGAAGCAGCUUGCUGCUUCGCUGACGAGUGGCGGACGGGUGAGUAAUGUCUGGGAAACUGCCUGAUGGAGGGGGAUAACUACUGGAAACGGUAGCUAAUACCGCAUAACGUCGCAAGACCAAAGAGGGGGACCCUCGGGCCUCUUGCCAUCGGAUGUGCCCAGAUGGGAUUAGCUUGUUGGUGGGGUAACGGCUCACCAAGGCGACGAUCCCUAGCUGGUCUGAGAGGAUGACCAGCCACACUGGAACUGAGACACGGUCCAGACUCCUACGGGAGGCAGCAGUGGGGAAUAUUGCACAAUGGGCGCAAGCCUGAUGCAGCCAUGC
RNAcentral lists this ribosomal RNA (400 nucleotides) under Escherichia coli. RNAcentral's name for it is "bacterial SSU rRNA". It matches the Rfam family "Bacterial small subunit ribosomal RNA", at positions 1 to 397 of the family's 1533-position model. The record is from RNAcentral. Lineage: Bacteria; Pseudomonadati; Pseudomonadota; Gammaproteobacteria; Enterobacterales; Enterobacteriaceae. RNAcentral also lists the same sequence under 1 other name.